RNAcentral lists this ribosomal RNA (497 nucleotides) under uncultured bacterium. RNAcentral's name for it is "bacterial SSU rRNA". It matches the Rfam family "Bacterial small subunit ribosomal RNA", at positions 28 to 497 of the family's 1533-position model. The record is from RNAcentral.
GACGAACGCUGGCGGCGUGCUUAAGACAUGCAAGUCGAACGGAGAUACUCAUGAAGCUUGCGAUUGAGUAUCUUAGUGGCGGACGGGUGAGUAACGCGUGGAUGACCUACCUAUAUGUGGGGGAUAACAGUUGGAAACGACUGCUAAUACCGCAUGUGAUCACAAUUAUAAAGGUUGUGAGGAAAGAUGGCCUCUGUUUACAAGCUGUCGCAUAUAGAUGGGUCCGCGUCUGAUUAGCUAGUUGGUAGGGUAAAGGCCUACCAAGGCGACGAUCAGUAGCCGGCCUGAGAGGGUGGACGGCCACACUGGGACUGAGACACGGCCCAGACUCCUACGGGAGGCAGCAGUGGGGAAUAUUGCGCAAUGGGGGAAACCCUGACGCAGCGACGCCGCGUGAGCGAAGAAGGCCUUAGGGUUGUAAAGCUCUGUUGUAAGGGAGAAAGGCAACCGGAGUAAUAUGCUGGUUGUAUGACGGUACCUUACGAGGAAGCCCCGGA